This 253-nucleotide ribosomal RNA is filed under the name uncultured bacterium. RNAcentral's name for it is "partial 16S ribosomal RNA". It matches the Rfam family "Bacterial small subunit ribosomal RNA", at positions 524 to 776 of the family's 1533-position model. The record is from RNAcentral.
UACGAAGGGUGCAAGCGUUACUCGGAAUUACUGGGCGUAAAGCGUGCGUAGGUGGUUUGUUAAGUCUGAUGUGAAAGCCCUGGGCUCAACCUGGGAAUUGCAUUGGAUACUGGCAGGCUAGAGUGCGGUAGAGGAUGGCGGAAUUCCCGGUGUAGCAGUGAAAUGCGUAGAGAUCGGGAGGAACAUCAGUGGCGAAGGCGGCUGCCUGGCCCAAUACUGACACUCAGGUGCGACAGCGUGGGGAGCAAACGGG